This 338-nucleotide long non-coding RNA is filed under the name Homo sapiens (human). RNAcentral describes it as "non-protein coding lnc-PRELID3A-1:5". The record is from RNAcentral. Lineage: Eukaryota; Metazoa; Chordata; Mammalia; Primates; Hominidae.
ACGUUUCCAAUAGGAAGCGCACACUACGCUGUGGGAACAAAAACACCAGGUGUCUGCUAUGGCCAAGGCAGAUAAGGUCUUUCUCUCCAACAGGAUCCAGAGAUGAGCCACUGGUACUAACACCCAACGGCUGAUAUUGUUUCAUAUGAACGUACCCUCCACGUGACCUCUUUAAUGCACUUGGCAAACUCCGUUAAUGCUGUUGAAGAAUGUAUGUUCUGUGCUGUGGUAAGAGGUGAUCGUAAUGCCCAAAUCAUCCAAUACACUAUCAUAAAGUGAAGUGAAAGACAUGUACUAGAUGUUUGCUUUGUGAAUGUGAAUGAAAGUCUUAUUUUGGG